GGAGGAGAGUGUGGAUGCAGCUGUAUCACAUCUGUUGCACACGUGCCUGUCACGCAGUCCCAAAGACCAGGCCUUGAGCCUAAGCACCAGUCAGCUAAGCAUGCCCAGGGACACAAGCCAACUGAAGAAGCACAUUGCUUUGCUGUGUGAUCGUCUAGGCAAAGGGGGGCGGCUUUCCUCAGAAGGCCACACCCACUCACCUAUCAUCAUGCCAGCCCAGAACCCGUCCCUGACUUACCAGUCCUGCUGAGUCCUGCUCUCCUCGGGUCCCGCCGUCCUGUGUAUCUUCGUCGGACUGACUCCCUGGCUGCUGACCUCCCCGCCUGUUUACCGACUUCGAUUCUCACCCUACGUUUCUGUUUCUGUUUGCCAUGGCUCCCCCCCGGAGAGAAGCUCCCUUGUUCGACACAGUCGCUCCUCUGCCGCGGAAGGCGGCGCUUCCCUUAACUGGGUUUGCGGGAAGCUUUCUCUCUGUUCUGUCGCUGUUUGUAUUAAAGUUCAGCAUUUCUCGCA
Non-coding RNA from Paramormyrops kingsleyae, 513 nucleotides. Lineage: Eukaryota; Metazoa; Chordata; Actinopteri; Osteoglossiformes; Mormyridae. The record is from RefSeq and is a predicted model, not a curated record.